This 648-nucleotide ribosomal RNA is filed under the name Clostridioides difficile. Its description in RNAcentral is "partial 23S ribosomal RNA". It matches the Rfam family "Bacterial large subunit ribosomal RNA", at positions 2253 to 2903 of the family's 2925-position model. Lineage: Bacteria; Bacillati; Bacillota; Clostridia; Peptostreptococcales; Peptostreptococcaceae. The record is from RNAcentral.
ACUGUCAGGUGGGCAGUUUGACUGGGGCGGUCGCCUCCCAAAAGGUAACGGAGGCGCUCAAAGGUUCUCUCAGUACGGUCGGAAAUCGUACGUAGAGUGUAAAGGCAAAAGAGAGCUUGAUUGCAAGACAUACAGGUCGAGCAAGGAUGAAAAUCGGACUUAGUGAUCCGGUGGUUCUGCGUGGAAGGGCCAUCGCUCAACGGAUAAAAGCUACCCUGGGGAUAACAGGCUUAUCUCCCCCAAGAGUCCACAUCGACGGGGAGGUUUGGCACCUCGAUGUCGGCUCAUCACAUCCUGGGGCUGUAGUAGGUCCCAAGGGUUGGGCUGUUCGCCCAUUAAAGUGGUACGCGAGCUGGGUUCAGAACGUCGUGAGACAGUUCGGUCCCUAUCCGUCGCAGGCGUAGGAAAUUUGAGAAGACCUGUCCUUAGUACGAGAGGACCGGGAUGGACGUACCUCUGGUGUACCAGUUGUCCUGCCAAGGGCAUGGCUGGGUAGCUAUGUACGGAAUGGAUAAGCGCUGAAAGCAUCUAAGCGCGAAGCCAACUUCAAGAUAAGAUUUCCCACCGCAAGGGUAAGACCCCAGAAAGACUAUCUGGUUGAUAGGUCGAAGGUGUAAGUGCAGCAAUGUAUUUAGCUUAUCGAUACUA